Non-coding RNA from Eimeria tenella, 73 nucleotides. NCBI's taxonomy places the organism in Eukaryota, Apicomplexa, Conoidasida, Eucoccidiorida, Eimeriidae. The record is from the annotation of a RefSeq genome assembly.
GGGCUGUUAGCUCAUCGGUAGAGCGCGCCCCUGAUAAGGGCCGAGGUACCUGGUUCAACCCCAGGACGGCCUA